Molecule: ribosomal RNA, 1966 nt
Filed under: human gut metagenome
Description: bacterial LSU rRNA
Rfam family: Bacterial large subunit ribosomal RNA
Source: RNAcentral
GAAAGUAAGAAAGGGCGUAUGGCGGAUGCCUAGGCUCACGGAGGCGAUGAAGGACGUGAUAAGCUGCGAUAAGCUUCGGGUAGGUGCAAAUAACCCUUGAUCCGGAGAUUUCCGAAUGGGACAACCUAGCCGUCUGAAGGACGGUUACUAGCACUUAAGUGUUAGAGCUAACGCAGGGAACUGAAACAUCUUAGUACCUGCAGGAAGAGAAAAUAAAUGAAUGAUUCCCCCAGUAGUGGCGAGCGAACGGGGAACAGCCCAAACCGUUGACGUCGCAAGGCGCCAGCGGGGUUGUAGGACCGCGACAUUGUAUGCAAAUCGUGAACAGAACACUUUGGAAAAUGUGACCAUAGACGGUGAUAGUCCAGUAUGUGAAGCGAAAUGCAGCAUAGCGGUAUCCUGAGUAACGCGGGACACGAGGAAUCCUGCGCGAAUCUGCCGGGACCAUCCGGUAAGGCUAAAUACUCCCGUGAGACCGAUAGCGAACGAGUACUGUGAAGGAAAGGUGAAAAGAACCCCGAGCAGGGGAGUGAAAUAGUUCCUGAAACCAUACGCCUACAAGCGGUCGGAGCAUCUUACGAUGUGACGGCGUGCCUUUUGCAUAAUGAUCCUACGAGUUACCGUCACUGGCGAGGUUGAGUGUCACGAGACACGUAGCCGCAGUGAAAGCGAGCCUGAACAGGGCGCAUAGUCAGUGGGGGUAGACGCGAAACCAAGUGAUCUACACUUGGCCAGGAUGAAGUCCCGGUAACACGGGAUGGAGGUCCGCACCAAUAAGCGUUGAAAAGCUUCUGGAUGAGCCGAGUGUAGGAGUGAAAGGCCAAUCAAACUUGGAGAUAGCUCGUACUCCCCGAAAGGCAUUUAGGUGCCGCGUCGGAUGGUCACCGUGAGAGGUAGAGCGACCGAUAGGACAAGAGGGCUUCACCGCCUAUCGAGUCCUGACGAACUCCGAAUGCUCACGGUCUGCAGUCCGGCAGUAAGGGGGCGGGUGCUAAGGUCCGUCCCCGAGAGGAGAAGAAUCCAGACCGCCGUCUAAGGUCCCGGAGUUCUGCCUGAGUUAGUCUAACGAAGUCUGGUCCCUAUGACAGCUAGGAUGUUGGCUUGGAAGCAGCCAUUCAUUCAAAGAGUGCGUAACAGCUCACUAGUCGAGGGUCCGGGCAUGGAUAAUAAUCGGGUAUAAGGCAGACACCGAAGGCGCGGGAUAGCAUUUAAGAAAGUAUCGGUAGGGGAGCAUACUCACAGCGUGGAAUGGUGUACGUAAGUUAUCCUGGAGCGGUGAGUAAAGCAAAUGUAGGAAUAAGUAACGAUAAGGAGGGUUAGAUUCCCUCCCGCUGUAAGACCAAGGUUUCCCGGGCAAUGCCAAUCAGCCCGGGGUCAGUCGGGUCCUAAGUCUAAGCCGAACGGCGAUGGCGAUGGCAGAGACGGUUAAUAUUCCGUCACUGCCGCAUGGGGCGACGUGGAGACGGAGCAGUGAAACCACCGCGGGGCGACGGAAGUCCCCGUUGAAGAGUGUAGGUGUUGAGGAUGGCAGGCAAAUCCACCGUCCGAGCUGAACUUGAUAGUAUGGAGUCUUCUUCGGAAGAAUCCAAUAGUGUGGGUAAUCAUACUCCCGAGAAAAUCCGCUAAGCUUAACCCAUGCGGCACCCGUACCGCAAACGGACACACGUGGUCGGGUAGAACAUACUAAGGCGUUGAGAGAUUCAUGGUUAAGGAACUAGGCAAAUUGACCCUGUAACUUCGGGAUAAAGGGUCCUCGUGAUGAGCGAGGCGCAGAGAAUAGGUCCAGGCAACUGUUUAACAAAAACACAGGGCUGUGCAAACUCGAAAGAUGACGUAUACAGCCUGACACCUGCCCGGUGCCGGAAGGUUAAGAGGAGAUGUCACUCGCAAGAGGAAGCAUUGAAUUGAAGCCCCGGUAAACGGCGGCCGUAACUAUAACGGUCCUAAGGUAGCGAAAUUCCUUGUC